CCUACGGGAGGCAGCAGUAAGGAAUAUUGGUCAAUGGGCGGAAGCCUGAACCAGCCAUGCCGCGUGCAGGAAGACUGCCCUACGGGUUGUAAACUGCUUUUGUACCGGAAUAAACCUUGAUACGUGUAUCAAGCUGAAUGUACGGUAAGAAUAAGGAUCGGCUAACUCCGUGCCAGCAGCCGCGGUAAUACGGAGGAUCCAAGCGUUAUCCGGAUUUAUUGGGUUUAAAGGGUGCGUAGGUGGCUUUUUAAGUCAGGGGUGAAAGACGGUAGCUUAACUAUCGCAGUGCCUUUGAUACUGAAGAGCUUGAAUGAACUAGAGGUAGGCGGAAUGUGACAAGUAGCGGUGAAAUGCAUAGAUAUGUCACAGAACACCAAUUGCGAAGGCAGCUUACUAUGGUUUAAUUGACACUGAGGCACGAAAGCGUGGGGAUCAAACAGGAUUAGAUACCCUGGUAGUCCACGCCCUAAACGAUGAAUACUCGAUGUUGGCGAUAUACGGUCAGCGUCUAAGCGAAAGCGUUAAGUAUUCCACCUGGGGAGUACGCCGCAAGGGUGAAACUUAAGGAAUUGACGGCGNGAGAGNGCGAGACGACGACGAGGGAGAGG
Molecule: ribosomal RNA, 608 nt
Filed under: uncultured bacterium
Lineage: Bacteria
Description: bacterial SSU rRNA
Rfam family: Bacterial small subunit ribosomal RNA
Source: RNAcentral